UCCCUGGUAGCUCAGAUGGUAAAAGUGUCUGCCUUCAAUGCGGGAGACCCGGGUUCGAUCCCUGGGUUGGGAA
Molecule: transfer RNA, 73 nt
Filed under: Ovis aries (sheep)
Lineage: Eukaryota; Metazoa; Chordata; Mammalia; Artiodactyla; Bovidae
Rfam family: tRNA
About the family: Transfer RNA (tRNA) molecules are approximately 80 nucleotides in length. Their secondary structure includes four short double-helical elements and three loops (D, anti-codon, and T loops).
Source: Rfam by way of RNAcentral